GGGGCCUGAACCAACAUUUGGUAUCAGAGCCUAGGGCUCGUAAAGACAGAGAAAGACGGUUUGAGAGUCGGUUUCGAGAAAGGGUGUAGCCCUUGGCUGUGGGGAAAACGCAACAGGAAGAAACCGAGUUUCGGUAGUUAUUCUUCGCAGCCUAUUUUCGGGUUUUCAAAACAGGGUAUUUGCGGGUGUUUUGGGACAGCAGGGGGGCUGUUUCGGUGUCGUUUUACAGCAGAAGACGGAGGCGUUAUGGCUGUUCGGAUGUUAGUUGCGGGUUUGCGCAAGCUGUUAUACAAGGGUGACAACAGCAGAAUGUUUUGCGGAAGCCUUGAUCGGAUUGUUCGUGAUAAGAGGAGACCGGUGUAGUGCGUGAAAAGCGGGAAGAAUGGAUCCGUCAAAGCAGGCGGCUUUGGAUUCGUCUCGUUUGGCAAGGUGAGAAAACGGAAGAAGCGGGUGGCUUGUUUUCUUUGUCGGUGGAUAGUCUCUUGAACAAGGUGAUCGGAAAAAGGUUGUAGAAAAAAAGGGAGAACACGGUGGUGACAUUAUGGCGUUGGAGUUCACUCGGGUGGCUUUGGAUGUGACCGGGGAAGGUUGUUGAUCCGUGAUAAGUCGUGAUGUUAAUGAACGGUGUUCCAACGUUAUGCCAUGUUACAUGUUACGGGCGUGGUGUUUCUUAUUCGGGUUGAACCGAGACACUGGACGUGAUCGAGGUGAAAAUCGGGUGUCCGUUAGAUGUCAUAGUGGUUCGAAACCGAGGUGAUUCGGUGCUGCGGUGACGGGUGUAAACAAACCGAUUAAGGGGGUGAAUGUUGGGUUAAUCGGUUCAGUUUACGGGUCAUUGGUUCGGCACAUUAUCGGGUCACGGUUCGAAUGGUUAUUUGUUUACGGGUAACGCGAGUCGUACGUAGGUCGCGGGUUCAAUUCGGGUCAGAUGGUUACGGGUCAAGCGUGCAAGUUGUUUACUAGUAGUAAAUGGGUCAAGUAAAUCCAUGGGUUUGAUCUAAUUAGUUUCUUGACGUUUGAUUUAGAAGAGUG
Molecule: long non-coding RNA, 1032 nt
Filed under: Helianthus annuus (common sunflower)
Lineage: Eukaryota; Viridiplantae; Streptophyta; Magnoliopsida; Asterales; Asteraceae
Source: RNAcentral